RNAcentral lists this ribosomal RNA (253 nucleotides) under uncultured bacterium. RNAcentral describes it as "partial 16S ribosomal RNA". It matches the Rfam family "Bacterial small subunit ribosomal RNA", at positions 524 to 776 of the family's 1533-position model. The record is from RNAcentral.
UACAGAGGUCCCAAGCGUUGUUCGGAUUCAUUGGGCGUAAAGGGUGCGUAGGCGGCGCGGUAAGUCGGGUGUGAAAUCUCGGAGCUUAACUCCGAAACUGCAUUCGAUACUGCCGUGCUUGAGGACUGGAGAGGAGACUGGAAUUUACGGUGUAGCGGUGAAAUGCGUAGAUAUCAGGAGGAACACCGGUGGCGAAGGCGGGUCUCUGGGCCGUAACUGACGCUGAGGAGCGAAAGCGUGGGGAGCAAACAGG